This 1343-nucleotide ribosomal RNA is filed under the name uncultured bacterium. RNAcentral describes it as "16S ribosomal RNA". It matches the Rfam family "Bacterial small subunit ribosomal RNA", at positions 28 to 1378 of the family's 1533-position model. The record is from RNAcentral.
GACGAACGCUGGCGGCGUGCUUAACACAUGCAAGUCGAACGGAAAGGCCCUGCUUUUGUGGGGUGCUCGAGUGGCGAACGGGUGAGUAACACGUGAGUAACCUGCCCUUGACUUUGGGAUAACUUCAGGAAACAGGGGCUAAUACCGGAUAGGAGCUCCUGCUGCAUGGUGGGGGUUGGAAAGUUUCGGCGGUUGGGGAUGGACUCGCGGCUUAUCAGCUUGUUGGUGGGGUAGUGGCUUACCAAGGCUUUGACGGGUAGCCGGCCUGAGAGGGUGACCGGCCACAUUGGGACUGAGAUACGGCCCAGACUCCUACGGGAGGCAGCAGUGGGGAAUAUUGCACAAUGGGCGGAAGCCUGAUGCAGCAACGCCGCGUGCGGGAUGACGGCCUUCGGGUUGUAAACCGCUUUCGCCUGUGACGAAGCGUGAGUGACGGUAAUGGGUAAAGAAGCACCGGCUAACUACGUGCCAGCAGCCGCGGUGAUACGUAGGGUGCGAGCGUUGUCCGGAUUUAUUGGGCGUAAAGGGCUCGUAGGUGGUUGAUCGCGUCGGAAGUGUAAUCUUGGGGCUUAACCCUGAGCGUGCUUUCGAUACGGGUUGACUUGAGGAAGGUAGGGGAGAAUGGAAUUCCUGGUGGAGCGGUGGAAUGCGCAGAUAUCAGGAGGAACACCAGUGGCGAAGGCGGUUCUCUGGGCCUUUCCUGACGCUGAGGAGCGAAAGCGUGGGGAGCGAACAGGCUUAGACACCCUGGUAGUCCACGCUGUAAACGGUGGGUACUAGGUGUGGGGUCCAUUCCACGGGUUCCGUGCCGUAGCUAACGCUUUAAGUACCCCGCCUGGGGAGUACGGCCGCAAGGCUAAAACUCAAAGGAAUUGACGGGGCCCCGCACAAGCGGCGGAGCAUGCGGAUUAAUUCGAUGCAACGCGUAGAACCUUACCUGGGUUUGACAUGGAUCGGGAGUGCUCAGAGAUGGGUGUGCCUCUUUUGGGGUCGGUUCACAGGUGGUGCAUGGCUGUCGUCAGCUCGUGUCGUGAGAUGUUGGGUUAAGUCCCGCAACGAGCGCAACCCUUGUUCACUGUUGCCAGCACGUUAUGGUGGGGACUCAGUGGAGACCGCCGGGGUCAACUCGGAGGAAGGUGGGGAUGACGUCAAGUCAUCAUGCCCCUUAUGUCCAGGGCUUCACGCAUGCUACAAUGGCUGGUACAGAGAGUGGCGAGCCUGUGAGGGUGAGCGAAUCUCGGAAAGCCGGUCUCAGUUCGGAUUGGGGUCUGCAACUCGACCUCAUGAAGUCGGAGUCGCUAGUAAUCGCAGAUCAGCAACGCUGCGGUGAAAAAGUUCCCGGG